GCUUACGGCCAUAUCAGCCUGGGUACGCCCGAUCUCGUCUGAUCUCGGAAGCUAAGCAGGGCCGGCCUGGUUAGUACUUGGAUGGGAGACCGCCUGGGAAUACCAGGUGCUGUAAGCA
This 118-nucleotide ribosomal RNA is filed under the name Salmo salar (Atlantic salmon). Lineage: Eukaryota; Metazoa; Chordata; Actinopteri; Salmoniformes; Salmonidae. The record is from RNAcentral.